UACAGAGGGUGCGAGCGUUGUCCGGAAUUACUGGGCGUAAAGGGCGCGUAGGCGGUUCUAUAAGUCAGGCGUGAAAUUCCUGGGCUUAACCUGGGGGCUGCGCUUGAGACUGUGGGACUUGAGGUCAGAAGAGGGUCGUGGAAUUCCCAGUGUAGAGGUGAAAUUCGUAGAUAUUGGGAAGAACACCGGUGGCGAAGGCGGCGACCUGGUCUGAUACUGACGCUGAGGCGCGGACAGCGUGGGGAGCAAACG
This 252-nucleotide ribosomal RNA is filed under the name uncultured bacterium. RNAcentral's name for it is "partial 16S ribosomal RNA". It matches the Rfam family "Bacterial small subunit ribosomal RNA", at positions 524 to 774 of the family's 1533-position model. The record is from RNAcentral.